This 713-nucleotide ribosomal RNA is filed under the name uncultured bacterium. Its description in RNAcentral is "bacterial SSU rRNA". It matches the Rfam family "Bacterial small subunit ribosomal RNA", at positions 69 to 772 of the family's 1533-position model. The record is from RNAcentral.
GUAACGGAAGCAGCUUGCUGCUUUGCUGACGAGUGGCGGACGGGUGAGUAAUGUCUGGGAAACUGCCUGAUGGAGGGGGAUAACUACUGGAAACGGUGGCUAAUACCGCAUAACGUCGCAAGACCAAAGAGGGGGACCUUCGGGCCUCUUGCCAUCAGAUGUGCCCAGAUGGGAUUAGCUUGUUGGUGAGGUAACGGCUCACCAAGGCGACGAUCCCUAGCUGGUCUGAGAGGAUGACCAGCCACACUGGAACUGAGACACGGUCCAGACUCCUACGGGAGGCAGCAGUGGGGAAUAUUGCACAAUGGGCGCAAGCCUGAUGCAGCCAUGCCGCGUGUAUGAAGAAGGCCUUCGGGUUGUAAAGUACUUUCAGCGGGGAGGAAGGUGUUGCGGUUAAUAACCGCAGCAAUUGACGUUACCCGCAGAAGAAGCACCGGCUAACUCCGUGCCAGCAGCCGCGGUAAUACGGAGGGUGCAAGCGUUAAUCGGAAUUACUGGGCGUAAAGCGCACGCAGGCGGUCUGUCAAGUCGGAUGUGAAAUCCCCGGGCUCAACCUGGGAACUGCAUUCGAAACUGGCAGGCUUGAGUCUUGUAGAGGGGGGUAGAAUUCCAGGUGUAGCGGUGAAAUGCGUAGAGAUCUGGAGGAAUACCGGUGGCGAAGGCGGCCCCCUGGACAAAGACUGACGCUCANGUGCGAAAGCGUGGGGAGCAAA